RNAcentral lists this ribosomal RNA (388 nucleotides) under uncultured bacterium. Its description in RNAcentral is "bacterial SSU rRNA". It matches the Rfam family "Bacterial small subunit ribosomal RNA", at positions 28 to 416 of the family's 1533-position model. The record is from RNAcentral.
GACGAACGCUGGCGGCGUGCUUAACACAUGCAAGUCGAGCGGUAAGGCCCUUUCGGGGGUACGACGAGCGGCGAACGGGUGAGUAACACGUGGGUGACCUGCCUCUAGCUCUGGGAUAAGCCUGGGAAGCUGGGUCUAAUACCGGAUAUGACCUCGCGGUGCAUGUUGCGGGGUGGAAAGCCUUGUGCGGCUAGGGAUGGGCCCGCGGCCUAUCAGCUUGUUGGUGGGGUGANGGCCUACCAAGGCGACGACGGGUAGCCGGCCUGAGAGGGCGACCGGCCACACUGGGACUGAGACACGGCCCAGACUCCUACGGGAGGCAGCAGUGGGGAAUCUUGCGCAAUGGGCGAAAGCCUGACGCAGCGACGCCGCGUGAGGGAUGACGGCC